Molecule: non-coding RNA, 89 nt
Filed under: uncultured Sporosarcina sp.
Lineage: Bacteria; Bacillati; Bacillota; Bacilli; Caryophanales; Caryophanaceae
Description: Purine riboswitch
Rfam family: Purine riboswitch aptamer
About the family: Riboswitches are metabolite binding domains within certain messenger RNAs that serve as precision sensors for their corresponding targets. Allosteric rearrangement of mRNA structure is mediated by ligand binding, and this results in modulation of gene expression.
Source: RNAcentral
AUACUAAAAAUCAAUCUGUAUAACCUCGAUAAUAUGGUUCGAGGGUCUCUACCAGGAUCCGUUAAGUCCUGACUACAAAAGAAAUUUUG